RNAcentral lists this ribosomal RNA (372 nucleotides) under uncultured organism. RNAcentral describes it as "partial 16S ribosomal RNA". It matches the Rfam family "Bacterial small subunit ribosomal RNA", at positions 527 to 896 of the family's 1533-position model. The record is from RNAcentral.
GUAGGUGGCAAGCGUUGUCCGGAAUUAUUGGGCGUAAAGCGCGCGCAGGCGGUCCUUUAAGUCUGAUGUGAAAGCCCACGGCCCAACCGUGGAGGGUCAUUGGAAACUGGGGGACUUGAGUACAGAAGAGGAAAGCGGAAUUCCAUAUGUAGCGGUGAAAUGCGUAGAGAUUUGGAGGAACACCAGUGGCGAAGGCGGCUUUCUGGUCUGUAACUGACGCUGAGGCGCGAAAGCGUGGGGAGCAAACAGGGAUUAGAUACCCUGGUAGUCCACGCCGUAAACGAUGAGUGCUAAGUGUUAGGGGGUUUCCCGCCCCUUAGUGCUGCAGCUAACGCAUUAAGCACUCCGCCUGGGGAUACGGCCGCAAGGCUG